RNAcentral lists this long non-coding RNA (884 nucleotides) under Setaria italica (foxtail millet). RNAcentral describes it as "long non-coding RNA (SITA_LNC007399)". Lineage: Eukaryota; Viridiplantae; Streptophyta; Magnoliopsida; Poales; Poaceae. The record is from RNAcentral.
GAAUGGUGUUGCUGGUGCUGUCGGUCUCCCUGCCGGCGCUGAAACCGCCGCCGUGCCACGGCGAUGUGUGCCCGAAGGUCUCAGCCCUGCAGCUCGGCGUCUACUUCGGCGGGCUGUACAUCGUGGCCUUGGGCAACGGCGGCACCAAGCCCAACAUCUCCACCAUCGGCGCCGACCAGUUCGACGAGUUCGACCCGCGGGAGAAGAUGCACAAGCUCUCCUUCUUCAAUUGGUGGAUGUUCACCAUCUUCCUGGGCAUCCUCUUCUCCUCCACCGUCCUCGUCUACCUCCAGGACAACGUGAGCUGGUCCGUCGGGUACGGCAUCCCCACGCUGGGUCUCAUGGUCUCCAUCGCCAUAUUCCUCGCCGGCACCAAGCUGUACCGCCACAGGUUGCCGCAGGGCAGUCCGUUCACGAGCAUGGGCAAAGUGGUCGCCGCCACGCUCUGCAAGUGGAACGUCCCCGUCCCGGCCGACGCCAAGGAGCUGCACGAGCUGGACGUCGAGGAGUACACCAGGAAGCGCAAGUUCCGGAUGGACUCCACCAACACCAUGAGGUUCCUGAACAAGGCCGCCGUGAAGGUGAAGGAUGACGUCGGCAACGGCGGCUCGCCGGCGAAGUGGAGCCUGUGCACGGUGACCCAGGUGGAGGAGACGAAGCAGAUCAUGAAGCUGGUGCCGCUCCUGGUGACCAUGUUCGUGCCGUGCACGCUGAUCGCGCAGACCAACACCCUGUUCGUGAAGCAGGGCGCGACGAUGAACCGGCACAUGGGCCCGCGCUUCCAGAUCCCGCCGGCGAGCCUCGGCGCGUUCGUGACGCUGACCAUGCUCAUCGCCGUCGUCGUCUACGACCUGGUCUUCGUCAAGGCCGUGCGUCGGUACACC